Molecule: ribosomal RNA, 492 nt
Filed under: uncultured bacterium
Lineage: Bacteria
Description: partial 16S ribosomal RNA
Rfam family: Bacterial small subunit ribosomal RNA
Source: RNAcentral
AGUGAACGCUGGCGGUAGGCCUAACACAUGCAAGUCGAACGGCAGCACAGUAAGGGCUUGCUCUUACGGGUGGCGAGUGGCGGACGGGUGAGGAAUACAUCGGAAUCUACUUUUUCGUGGGGGAUAACGUAGGGAAACUUACGCUAAUACCGCAUACGACCUACGGGUGAAAGCAGGGGAUCUUCGGACCUUGCGCGAUUGAAUGAGCCGAUGUCGGAUUAGCUAGUUGGGGGGGUAAAGGCCCACCAAGGCGACGAUCCGUAGUUGGUCUGAGAGGAUGAUGGGCCACCAUGGAGGUGAGAAACGGUCCAGACGCCUACGGGAGGAAGCAGUGGGGAAUAUUGGAGAACGGGCGCAAGCCUGAUCCAGCCAUACCGCGGGGGUGAAGAAGGACUUCGGGUUGUAAAGCCCUUUUGUUGGGAAAGAAGAGCAGCAGGUUAAUACCCCGCUGUUCUGACGGUACCCAAAGAAUAAGCACCGGCUAACUUCGUG